This 223-nucleotide ribosomal RNA is filed under the name Pseudomonas aeruginosa. RNAcentral describes it as "partial 23S ribosomal RNA". It matches the Rfam family "Bacterial large subunit ribosomal RNA", at positions 1478 to 1695 of the family's 2925-position model. Lineage: Bacteria; Pseudomonadati; Pseudomonadota; Gammaproteobacteria; Pseudomonadales; Pseudomonadaceae. The record is from RNAcentral.
AAGGCUAGGCCAGCUUGGCGUUGGUUGUCCAAGUUUAAGGUGGUAGGCUGAAAUCUUAGGUAAAUCCGGGGUUUCAAGGCCGAGAGCUGAUGACGAGUCGUCUUUUAGAUGACGAAGUGGUUGAUGCCAUGCUUCCAAGAAAAGCUUCUAAGCUUCAGGUAACCAGGAACCGUACCCCAAACCGACACAGGUGGUCGGGUAGAGAAUACCAAGGCGCUUGAGA